GGAAACUGUAGCCUAGAGAGUUUGAGUGACUUGCUUAACAUUUCUCUGAGGAGAUUUCACAGUACUCAAGGUCUCUCCUAAGGAAAACAGUAGUUGAGUGUGGGAGAAGGUGGGAAUAACAUGUUUUCAUGAGAUAAGCGAGAAGAGCAAAGACGAGUUGGAGAAGACAGAUAAUUGAUUGAAUAUCAUAGAAAGUCCUGGAAAGAAUGGUAAAUGUCAACCAAUUCAAAUAGUUUUAACAGAUGAAGAAACAAGACCAGAGAGGUUACGUGCCUUAUCCAGGGUCACACAGAUAGUCAAUGUCAGAGAGAGGACUUAGACUCCUGGUUUCUCACUCGUAGCGCUUAACUUUUUUCAUUUCUCUCUGUAAAAUCAUCUCAAAUAGUCUGCCCUUUAUUUAAAAAGAGAUGAAGUGAGCAUCCGUAGAAGCCCAGAAGGUUGUAGAACAUAAAGCAGAUAGAAGAUCAGCUUCCUCUCUGACAAUGAUUUCCUGCAAAGAGUUGAGAUUAUUUUGGUUCAAUUAAAAUUACUAUGCUCCUUUUAUGAGAAAUAUAUUGAGAUAGGAGAUAAAUUGGUACCACAUAAGUAAAAAAAUUGGUGCUUUUCCUCCAUCUGUUCAUUCUUUUGUGGGAAGACACAAACACCCUGUCUUCUACUGACUGAUAAUCAUGAAAAGUGCUAAAUAAGAAGUAUAAAAGGGACUGAGAAUUUAAGGAAAAGAGAAUUUAAGAAUAUUUAGCAGGCAUUAGAUCCUUGUUAAAAAUCUAUAUUCUUGACUUUAAAAGGACUUUACUACUUGGAUAUGAUGAAAAUCAUUGAAAAUGAUUCUAAUUAAAGAUACAUCUGUCUUACAGAAGAUUUUAAAAUAGAUUAGCUUAUGGCCAAAUGUAUUUAUUUCUACCAUUAAUAUUGAUACUGUGGUUUUUGUUUAAUGCCUGUACACAGCUUUUACAUUGUAUAGUCUGUUUACACCCUAUAGAUCUAUCUCUAUGGUUUUCUUUCUUUUUUUUUCUUUUUUAUUUCACUAGGUGCCUUAUCUAUAAUUAUAAUAGAUACUCAAGAGAGAACUUGUUGACUUGAUGAAGAAAACAAGAAAAGAACUGCAGAACACUCGAUGACGUUUUACACUUUCUUACCCACUUCU
RNAcentral lists this long non-coding RNA (1144 nucleotides) under Papio anubis (olive baboon). RNAcentral's name for it is "lncRNA (ENSPANG00000048665.1)". Lineage: Eukaryota; Metazoa; Chordata; Mammalia; Primates; Cercopithecidae. The record is from RNAcentral.